This 253-nucleotide ribosomal RNA is filed under the name uncultured bacterium. RNAcentral's name for it is "partial 16S ribosomal RNA". It matches the Rfam family "Bacterial small subunit ribosomal RNA", at positions 524 to 776 of the family's 1533-position model. The record is from RNAcentral.
UACAGAGGGGGCAAGCGUUGUUCGGAAUUACUGGGCGUAAAGGGCGCGUAGGCGGCCUGCUAAGUCGAACGUGAAAUCCCCGGGCUCAACCCGGGAACUGCGUCCGAUACUGGCAGGCUUGAAUUCGGGAGAGGGAUGCGGAAUUCCAGGUGUAGCGGUGAAAUGCGCAGAUAUCAGGAGGAACACCGAUGGCGAAGGCAGGUCUCUGGGCCACUACUGACGCUGAGAAGCGAAAGCAUGGGGAGCGAACAGG